RNAcentral lists this long non-coding RNA (324 nucleotides) under Brassica napus (rape). RNAcentral's name for it is "long non-coding RNA (BNAP_LNC000204)". Lineage: Eukaryota; Viridiplantae; Streptophyta; Magnoliopsida; Brassicales; Brassicaceae. The record is from RNAcentral.
AUGUCGAUCCAUGUGAACGACGAAAGACGGCUGCUUCCUGACACUACGUACUAGGCUAUCUGCCUUUGUAUUUUGCAUUCUUUGCACAUGGACAAUCUCUGAUCGGGAAAAACUUUCUUUCAAGACUUUAACAUCAUCUAAAUAACUUGCAAAAGCUGGCCAUUCGUCUAGUUCAGAAACCAUCUUCACCAAUUGAGAAUAAUUCGUUGCAAAUGUAACAUGAAAUUGACGUAAGUUCCUCAUGCAUUCUAUUGUCCAAAGUAAUGCUUCCAUCUCCGCAUGUAGAGGAGAAAGACUAGUCCGAACAUUCCUUGCCCCCAUCAA